CUUCCCAGGAUAAUUGGGUUGACCUCUUGCCCUGGGCGGAAUUUGCCCGGAGCAAUGCUACGCAUGACUCUUCCAAACUUGGUCCUUUUUUGUUGUAUAUGGUCUCUACCCUACUGUAUUAUCUUCUGUGUUCUCUGAUACAUAUAUUCCCACACUGGAUGAGCAUCUGACCUCUAGGAGGAAAACAUGGGAUCUGGUUCAUAUUGCCUUAGUUGGUGCUGCUUCCCGUUUUAAGCAGCAUGCUGAUAAAAGAUGUAGUGCUGAACCUUCUUAUCAAGUAGGGGACAAGGUUUAGCUGUCCACUAGACAGAUCAGACUAAGGGUACCCUCUAUGAAGUUCGCUCCAAGAUACAUUGGUCCUUUCCGUGUUUCACGUAGGAUUAAUCCGGUGUCUUAUGUUCUUGACCUCCCUGCCAACCUUCGAAUACCCCGUACUUUUCAUGUUUCUUUAUUAAAGCCACUUAUCUGCGAUAUACUUCUCAUUCCGCACCUCCCCCUCCCUUGGUGGUUGCGGGACAGGAAGAGUACGAAGUCCCAGAACCGUUUUGCGGUUAACCACAGCUUAAAUGACGAACGGCUGGGUGGUUGUCGUUCGUAAGAACAAACACUUGGCGGUGGCGGCCAACUUGACUUGCCGAACGCCCCAGCAGUGUUCGUCGUCGACUGCGUGGAACUAGUUUCGGUCACUGUUUUACACGAACACCGCUGGGACCUCCAGACCUUCACCCGUUUGUUUAUAAACAUACGAAUGCAGCGUCGUUCGGUACUUUCAUACUCACAAACUAGACCGACCCGGAGGACUAAAAAGUAUGGAACUAAUCCUGGGCUGAAUUAUGCCGAACGGUCGUUGAGAAAACGUUAACCCCAUGGUGAUCCAACUGUAUUCGUGAGAUCUGAGCGCUUUUCAGAUAUAUUGAGCGCUCAGAUCCAAGCUAUCCGGGGAUAUGUUGGUUACAGUCUGAGCUUAAAAGAUAUUUUCUGUACCUGGAGAUAAUUAAGUUACUACGGCCACUUAAGCCAAUUAUCUCCAGGAUGGAGGGGAGGGUUUAGAAAAAUGCACUUUGUUAUGAUUGGUUCAUGUUACUUGUGUUUCAGUGCCCCACCAGGUCCAGUGGGUGUUCCCUGGCCUGGAAAAACUAUGUACCCAUUAAAAUCAGUCUUCUUACCCUCAACAAGCCUUGACUCGUGUUGUACGGAAAUGCUAAUCACAAGCUCUGUUCAGAGCUUCAAGAAUCUUCUACACCUCAAGGGAUAUCGGUAGUUGCUGAAGUGGGACUUUUUGCCGCUCUCCCAGCUCGGAGACAAGGACAUCCAGGCGGUCCAACCCUCAGCUAGCCUGGGGCAACCGCAACAGAAGGGUUACGUUUCUAAGAAACGCUUAUGGAUUCCUGCUGUUGGCAUUCAUGCUGGACUCCUCCUUCGCUCUUUCCAUGCCCAGUACCCCGAUAAGCCUGGUCCUGCCCAACCGGUGGGUGGUCUUUGUCUGGGGGUGCUAUUGCAGUGCCCGAUCGGCACCAAGAUGUGACUGCAUCUGAUCGGUGCGGUCACACUAAAGGAGGGAGAGGUUGCUUACCUUACCUACAGAGCCUCUCCCUCCGUGCAGUCCUUAAUACAGCGUCCAAGUCCAACGUUAUGAAGGACGCCAGCCGCUGCAAGGUGGCGCUAUGUAAUAAUGCCCCCCACAAUUACAGUGGCGUGAAGCGUCACGUUUUUCCCCUGCACGCACGUUCUCGGGUCAUGGCACCCAAAUCAGCCAAUAGCAGGGUUUACUGGGUUAUUUAAACCCAAAUCUGCAGUUUUUCAGUGCCCUGUCGUGGAUUCCAUCCUGUUGGUUAUCAGAGAGCGCGUUCCUGAUUCUGUUGAUCGGUUUUUGAUCUUGGCUUGGCUUGACUUCCCGUAUUUCUGGUAUCCCUGACAGUUUGGCUUUGUUCUUACCGUAUUUUUGUCCCUUUCUGUAUUCCUGACCAAGGCUCGUGACUAUUUUUUCUAUUACAUUAAUUCCGGCCAUUCUAAGGCCCGGUAAUACGGUGUUACUGUUUGUCUUAGUUACGCAUUUUACUUAAUUCUGCGUGUUGGGCCACUGGUUCGUCCUGACAACCAUUACACAUAUCCACCAUACUUGAUCAUUCUGAGCACUCUCCUGCAGGUAUGAUGCAACCUAGUAACCCUGGUGGUGAUCACCUCAUUUUGAUGAUUGUGGUUUUCAUUUCCCAGGCUUCUGGAACGGUCUGUGGACUACCCCAGGUUUCUCUUGACAUUACCUUGUCUGUUAUGCCAUCCUUAUCCGAUUCUCUUGUACUGGGUUCUGGAACUUCUGGCUUGACUGAUUUCUGUCUGGGGAUCUUGAUAGGUCCAGGGAGUUUCAGAUGCGAGUAGGUGACUCAUAGCAAAGGUAUGGACCUCUAGUACUUCGGUAUUGUCCAGGGCAUCUUGACGAACUUGGUCUGGCUGGUGCCUGGCUAGGAGCUUGGAUCCCGUUUCAGUCCCCCUGACCAUUAUUCUGCAAGUUUUCACUUCUCUGUAUGAGAAUGGAUGGGCAUACCAGAUGAUGAAUUUGUACAAGUCUGUAAUUUCUUCAGCUCAUCACUGUUUUGAUGGAUACCGGGCGGGUCUACAUCCGUUGGUUUGCCAUCUGCUUAAAGCACUCAGCUUUCUCGUCCUCCAUUUUUAAUUUAUUUACUACUGGCAUUUAUAAAGCACCAACAUAUUCCGCAGCAGUGUUAUUAGGCUAUGUGUGGUGUUUUGUGUGUUCUCUUUUUGACUCAUAUUCUUCUAGUUAGGAACUUUCAUUGAAGCAACUUUCACCCUAUUUUGAUUUAUUGGUUUCGGAUUAUUAUUAUUUCAGGCAUUGGGACUGUGGAGCUCACUCUUGUGUUUGACCUAUCUCAAUGGAACAAAACUUCCAUCAGAUAGGUUACUUAUCCUGCCUUCUCCUUUCAGUGUUUACAGGAAUACGAACAACGUACGAUUGCCUAUAAGCAGCCUUUUUGUCCUUUCCUUCCGGUCCCUGGUUUUACGGGUGUCUAGUAUGACUCUGGUUGCUGUGUUUAAUGGAUUAUGUCCCAGACAUGCGUGGAUACCACUAUGUUUGAGGCACAUUUAUCUAGAGGAGCAGCUGUUUUUUUGCUUGGUCAACGUUUAUUUGAUACGUCUCGUAAGACUACAUUUCAUGACAUUUAUUUGAAACAGAUUUGACAUGAUUUUUCUUCAGUUAUCACUCAGCUUUAAACUUGCAACAAAGAAAACAAAAGGCGUCAAGAAAAAUGCGCAGAGCGAAUGCAUCGCUGGGAGGAAGAAUACUUGCCUCCGUGGAGGGGAGUCCUUGCCACUCUUUGGUUUUCUCUCUGGAUUUAUUCACAGGUCUCAUUUUGGCUGUGGUGGUUACACAAGUGAUGUGAGAUGGUUACAUUUGCAUACUUUGUUGUAUUGUUUGUUUGCCAUAUGUUUUGAUCUGCAUGAUGGUUUAAAUGUGCUAUUAUUGUCUUUAUAAUGGCAUUUAUUUGGUCAUGUUAUAUUUUCUUUGCAUAGGAUCUAAGCACUGGACUCCUGUGUGUUUUUUUGUCUUUGCAGUACGAUUUUGCAGAAACUAAGUUUGGUCUCGAGUUUAUGUUCAUUGGUUUUUAUUUUUGUAUUUUUUAUUAUGGUCUUUAUUUUUGCGAGUUAGUGCAGAUGGUAUGUUCACUGUCAUCUUGAUAAGGCAGUUGUUUGCCGUUGAUGGAGACAGUGUUUCUGGACUCCCAUGUUCUUGUUCGACUGGAUUUUUUUGAGAGUUUGAAGUGAUAGUAGUUUCUGGAUGUGGAUUUUGUUAAUCUGUUCAGUCAAAGAAAGAGGAAGUACUGAGGGUGGUGCUUGGUCUUAUACAGGGUAAAAGUGUCAGGAUUGCAUGACGGUAUGUUUUCCUGUAUAACUGUUUUUCUAUGUGUGUAUUGUUUCUUUGCUGAUCUUGUGUGUGGCUGACCACCAGUAUAUCGCUGCCACAGAUUCCCUUUUCCAAAACAACGUAGCUCCAACACGCAUCAAAGUAAAUAUCACUGGUAUCGCCUUUACCCCCACACAUUAAAUCGAGACUGAAUGCUGGGAAUAGAUCUGUUUAAUGCAGGCAAGCACUCACAAUUUAUACACACAGUAAACUCCUCCCCUGUGCCUGAGAGAUAAUU
Molecule: long non-coding RNA, 4157 nt
Filed under: Pelobates cultripes (western spadefoot toad)
Lineage: Eukaryota; Metazoa; Chordata; Amphibia; Anura; Pelobatidae
Source: RNAcentral